Molecule: long non-coding RNA, 285 nt
Filed under: Gossypium barbadense (sea-island cotton)
Lineage: Eukaryota; Viridiplantae; Streptophyta; Magnoliopsida; Malvales; Malvaceae
Description: long non-coding RNA (GBAR_LNC004553)
Source: RNAcentral
AUUUAUACUUUUGUGGUAACAAGUAAGAUUAUGAUACAUGAUAACAAUAAAACAUUUAAACAUAUAUAUAUCACCUAUUUCCUAUAUCACUUGUCAUAUAUCAUCGUUUUCUUGCAUAUCAUGUAACAUUCUUCCAUGUCAUAUUUCCACAUCAUGUACACCAUUCCAUCAACUUUUCCAAUGCAUUCAAUCAUACAAUUUAUGCAAUAAUAGUAAAGAAUUACAUUUCAAACAUAAUAUUACAUUAUUAUUAUCAUACGAACUUACCUCGAAUCUGAGCACGGC